This 1914-nucleotide unclassified non-coding RNA is filed under the name uncultured fungus. RNAcentral describes it as "sequence contains 18S rRNA gene, ITS1, 5.8S rRNA gene, ITS2, 28S rRNA gene". The stretch from base 891 to 1914 matches the Rfam family "Eukaryotic large subunit ribosomal RNA", at positions 1 to 961 of the family's 3401-position model. Lineage: Eukaryota; Fungi. The record is from RNAcentral.
GGUUGGAUCAUUACAGAAAAUAUGAUAUUUUUUUUGCUUGUAAGAACAAAUCUUUUUUGUUUUUGCAGGUAAAAAGAAAACAAAUCAUAAAUUCAACACCCAACCUGUGAACUGUUUACUGUACUUGUUUGGCAGCCCACCUCAAACAUUUAUGUUUGGCAAGGAGGAGGAUUGGGCAAGAAACAAAACUUUUUUUAAAGUAUUGUUUCUCGCCCGCCCCCUCUGGGGCUGUCGAACGCAAAAUUUAAACAAACUCGUUAUGCGUAUCUUUAUUAGUCUACUUUUUUUUUAAUACAAAAAAAAACUUAUUAAAAAGAAAAAACAACUUUUGACAACGGAUCUCUUGGCUCUCGCAACGAUGAAGAACGUAGCGAAUUGCGAUAAGUAGUGUGAAUUGCAGAAUUCAGUGAAUCAUCGAAUUUUUGAACGCAUAUUGCGCUCUCUGGUAUUCCGGGGAGCAUGCCUGUUUGAGAACCGUUUUUACCUAUCACUUAAUUUUACUUCUUGUAAAAUACCAAGUGGAUUUGGGUAAUUGCUCUUUUCCUUGCGAAAAGAACAAUACCUUAAUUGAAUCGUCACGGAUCACAAUAACCCCUUAUACUAUUUAGUUAGUAGGGCAUGUGAUGGGGUUUUCGUUUGAAAGCAUUCCAUGGACGUUGAAGAUGUAGAUGAUGUGGGAUAUAAUUAAGUUUUUAUCCCCUUUUCUUGCAUCGUGUAGACAUGAUAUGGAACUUGUGAACAAGAACGAUUACAUUCCAAACUCAUUGCAUUUGCUUUCCUUAUUUUGUGAUACGUCUCAAUUUGACAUGCCAGGCAUCGUUCUCUUCCAUUUCUGUUUCUUUCUUUCGAGGAGGAAGGGGAAGGGGAAGCGCGGUGUAUACCUGAACACAUGGUCUCAAAUCAAGCAAGAGGACCCGCUGAACUUAAGCAUAUCAAUAAGCGGAGGAAAAGAAACCAACAGGGAUUCCCUUAGUAACGGCGAGUGAAGCGGGAACAGCUCAAUUUUGAAAUCUCACUGUUUCACAGUGCGAAUUGUAGUUUCUAGAAGCGCUUUCGGGGGCAGCCUGGGUUUAAGUCCGUUGGAACGCGGCAUCAUAGAGGGUGAGAAUCCCGUCUUUGAUCCGGUGCCUGCUCCUGUGUGAUGCGUUUUCGAAGAGUCGGAUAGUUUGGGAAUGCUGUCCAAAAUGGGUGGUAAAUACCAUCUAAAGCUAAAUAAUGGCGAGAGACCGAUAGCGAACAAGUACCGUGAGGGAAAGAUGAAAAGAACUUUGAAAAGAGAGUUAAACAGUACGUGAAAUUGUCAAAAGGGAAACGCUUGAAACCAGUAUUGCGCUGCGGAAAUCAGCUGUUCAUUAGAAUGGUGCACUUUUCGUAGUUGCGGGUCAGCAUCAGUUUGGUUUGGAGUACAAAGCCGUUAAACGUUGAACUUGUUCUAGUUGGCGGUAAUGCUCUGGGCUGGACUGAGGACUGCAGCUCUGUAUUUGGACACCCUGUCGCCAUUUGAACUUACUCUGUAGACAACUUGUUGAUUACAGUUUUUUGCGAAGAUGCUCGAUGGGUUUUGUCACAACUGAGCUUAGGAUGCUGACGAAAUGGUUUUAAACGACCCGUCUUGAAACACGGACCAAGGAGUCCAACACAUAUGCGAGUGUUUGGGUGGCAAACCCGAGCGCGUAAUGAAAGUGAAUGCAGGUGGGAUCCGCAAGGUGCACCAUCGACCGGUCUGGAUUCUUUUGAAAGAUCUGAGUAAGAGCAUAUUUGUUGGGACCCGAAAGAUGGUGAACUAUGCCUGAAUAGGGUGAAGCCAGAGGAAACUCUGGUGGAGGCUCGUAGCGGUUCUGACGUGCAAAUCGAUCGUCAAAUUUGGGUAUAGGGGCGAAAGACUAAUCGAACCAUCUAGUAGCUGGUUCCCUC